This is a long non-coding RNA of Rattus norvegicus (Norway rat), 3116 nucleotides long. RefSeq lists it as uncharacterized. NCBI's taxonomy places the organism in Eukaryota, Metazoa, Chordata, Mammalia, Rodentia, Muridae. The record is from RefSeq and is a predicted model, not a curated record.
GCUGUGAAAUGCUGGCUUCUGAACGUGGCAGGCCACUGUACCAGUGAAUGCACUGCACCUAUAGUUAUGGUUACCUGCCUGAGACCAAGCCAACAAGAACAGUCAGUAUUCCAGGAGACAGCACGAAUCACAAAAAAGUAAAAGGAAAAGCUGAGAGAGUUUGUAGUUUAGGUAAUAUGUUGAGGGUGUUGAAUGUGGGAGGGGAGUUAGGGAUGGACAUGAUUAUGAUAUAUUGUACACAUAUGUGAAAUUAUCAAAGAGUAACUAGAUUAAAACCAGCCAAUAGGGGCUGGAGAGAUGGCUCAGAGGUUAAGAGCACUGACUGCUCUUCCAGAGGUCCUGAGUUCAAAUCCCAGCAACCACAUGGUGGCUCACAACCAUCUGUAAUGGGAUCUGAUGCCACCUUCCGGUGUGUCUGAAGACAGCUACAGUAUACUUACAUAAAAUAAAAUAAAUAAAUCUAAAAAAAAAAACAAAAAAAAAACAGCCAAUAGGAGACCGAAGAGCCAGCCCCAAGGUUGAGAGCUUUCUGCUCUUCCUGAGUUCAGUUCCCAGCACCGGGUAGGUGUCCACAGUUGCCUGUAACUCCAGAUCCAGAGGAAUCUGACGCCCUCUCCUGGCCUCCACAGGCACCUACACUCAUGUGCGUGCAUGCACACAUAUAUGCGCGCGCACAUGUAAAAAUAAAUUUAAAAAUAUCAAUAAAUAAGUAAUAAAAAUAAGUCAUACGUAUUCUCACAUGACUCAAAAAUACUAGACUGCAACUAUUAUGAGGAUGUGUUAAUAUGCAAUUUUAUGUGUGAAAACAUGUAAUGUAAGUGUACAUUAAAAUGUAUGCACACAGAAACCAUUGAGAGCUGAUAGAGGGAAUGUGGGAUCCAGCACUGCCAGCAAGGAGGCCACCCCGCCCACGCAUAAAUAACUUCGAGCCGUGCGCUGUCGGAGACAACGAGGCUGUUCAGUUUCAAAACCAAGACUUACAGUCCCACUCUCUGGCCCUGGCUGGGCCUCACGUGUUCUCCUCUUGCUCCUAAGGCCUGGCUAGGAUGUGAACCUAGGACCUCACGCAUGCGUGUGUGGCAAGUGCUCUGCAGUGCCAGUCCCUCGUUCCUUUUAAACAGCUUCCUUUUGGUCCCCCAUGAGCAGCAGAGUGUGGAGUUAUGCGCGUGGAGUUGUGCGCCAUGUCGCUUCUCAGGAACACGUGCACCGAUUGUAACCACCCGGGAAGAAAGAUGAGCAUGGUGCGUUUUCUAGACAACCAAUACCACAAAUAAGGACUCUGAGGCUUUCUUCAGUCUUGAAGCCAAGUCAGUUCCAUGCUUGGAUAAGGAGAUGUUACAUAUAUUCUGUUGAAUAAGAUGUCUCCUCUCCACCCAAUGCUUACAAGUCACCUCCCUCCUUAACCCUGGUGGUGCUCCCCCUGCUGGAGUGAAGGAGACUUGCACAAUUGCAGCUGUUUUUACAUUUAUUUGUUUGCGUGUGCACAUAUGUGUAUGUUUGUGUGUGUGAGUGCUGUGUGUGUUUGUGUUUGUGUGUCCGUUUGUGUGUGUCUCUGUAUGUUUGUGUGUGAGAGUGUAUGUGUGAGUGUGAGUGUGUGUGUGUGUGUGUGUGUGUCCCCUACCACCACUGCUCUUCCUGUCUCAGAGACUUCUUAGCAGGAAGCUGGCUUGGCCCUGGUUGGUGGGGCUGAUGGUUCCAGCUUUCAACCCUGUGAGCGAGCUCCUGGAGGGUAGUGCUGGUGGCACCUUGGCUGAAGAUGUCAUAAGCACAGUGCCACAGCUUCUGUCGCCUGAGCAGGAUCCUGAGGCAGAGGGACCAGCGCUGAGCACACCUGCUUCCCAGGUAUUCCCCGCCUCGCUUGGGCAUGCUGUCACCCUCUCUGGCUUCACAGUCCUCAUCUAUAUUAGAGAUACUAUACUCGCUACCCUUCGUCCUCCUAGGAAUUCUGGGUGCGCUGCAUGCCUGGACACUGGAGCAGCCCUGCACCCAUGGGCGCACCCUGUCUGCCGUAUUUCCCAAACAGCAUCUCUUCCCCCCCCCCUCCCUUAUUAGUCUGCACUUUUGAACAGGGAAAUUCAAAGGUAAAGGGGAACAUUCAGUCUGUGCUUAAAGCUAAGGGGGACUGCCUCCUACUGCAUGUCCCUUACUUAAUUUCACAGAGCUCUGUGGCCAGGAACAGAGCUCUCAGCCUCGAACUUAGACGUGGGAGAAUUUUUUUGUUGUUGUCGAACUGCUUCCAUGUCUGUCUCUGCGCGUGGGCGGGAGGGCGGCGCUCAAAUCUGGGCUUUGGUGUUUGACGUUCCCUUUGCAAGUUUCAGAACGAAAACCAGUUCCUGAAAGAGUCAGUUUGGGAGGAUAAUCUCGCAGACCGAAGGCACCUCCUGUGUGCCAGACACAGCACUGAGAAGGAAGAAGAGGGCUGGGAUGUGUCUACACGAAGCCCUGGCUACAACCAUGGCUCUCUCAAAUCCUCCAGCAGGGUGACGAAGGCGGAAGAGCCAGAAACUUAGAGUGAUCCUCCAUUGCAGGGGCAGUCAAGGAAGACCCUGUUUCCGGAAGGAAAGAACGGGAAGGAAGAAGAACCUGGAGAGGAAGGAGGGUGAAGCAGAAGGAAGUUAAGCAGAGAUGAUCAAAACAUAGGUCAUCUCCGGCAAACAUCGGUGUCUCCCUGGGGGGAGGUCAGAGCACAGAAGUCCUUCUAGCCCCUCUUCUUUUCUAACAGUGCUUUGCCGGUCCCUCAUGUGACCUUGAUCUGUCCUUUAAAGUUUCUCGGUUGUGUAACAGGAAACUCUACGUGGCUUCAAAAGUCAAAAGGGUCGAAGUGAAUGUGAGAUUUCAGCCCAGCUUUCUACUAGGUCUGCUUCUCAAGUGUAUAGACGCUCAGACCAACCAUGGGCCACCAUGGUUGCAAACACCAGAAAAGGAACAUGGAGAGGUAAUGGCUACUUCUUAGAAGGUCCCCACCUCUUCCCAGAAGAAGCACGCAUAUCCCUCUCCUUUACUCGCCUAGCCCUCACUCUUCUUACCCUGUCUGUAACUCCUCAACCUGCUGGCUUAGAGGUUAACACCCGAGCUCCUCUUUUCUUUGGCUACUGAAUAAAGACCACUUUGACCCC